GUUGUUUCAUCAAUCUUUUGAACGUUUUUUUCCCCCACCUCUUCACUUAAUAUUUGAUCUAUUUCCUGCUUAGUUUUUGCUCAUUUGGAAUACCACUGUGUGGUCUAUCCGAAGAAUGUUUGCUUACUCUAAAUCUCUUAAUCUUCACUGCCGUUUAGUCCGUUUUUCAGCUUUUGCCUUAUGUAAUGAAACACAUCCUCACGAUAAGAUUCCCCCUGGGAACAGCUUGGGCUGCAUCCCACAGACGUUCAGGUUCACAUCCCCACUAUCAUUGUCAUCGCAUUUUGGUUUCCUUCUCAGCCUCGUGCCACCGUUCAUAUCCUUUUUUUCCCCUUGUUCUUGUCCCCACUCGUUAUGGAAGCAAGCCUAAGUCGUUUCUGCAAGUAAGAAUUCAAAUAAACAUUUGCGGCUGAUAAUUUGGACCGCAGUCACUACGCUGCCAUCUUGUCACACCAAAGUCUGCUCUGUUGUGAGUUAAUUGUUCAGUUCCCUUGACAAGUGUUACUAGUAUUUGUUACAAACAAACUUGCCACGCUUUGGAUGAUACAAUUGGGUUCCAGUCGGCAUCUUUUUUGGAAAUGGGGCAUUUGUUCGGAUGAUUACUUAAUUACGUCACUGGCUGGUGAGUGUCGCAUGGAUGUUGCCCAAAGUGGUUUGGAACUGUGGCCUUCUUAAAGCAUUUUUAUGUUGUUUUUAAUUCGAAUUUACACCCCAUUAGAUUUGAGGAAUCAUUUGUCAUAUCACUUUUUGAUGUUUCUUCAAAAAGCCUGCCCUUUUCUAAACUAUUCUUCUGGUUGUUCAUGUUUGGAUUUGUGAGAGCAAGGAUUGUGAAACAAUCCAUCAAUUUGUCAGCUAAACUUGUUCUUAUCUGGACUGAGAGAGUCAAGGUCAAUGCAAUGUUACCUCACCUGUUUUUGUGACAUAUCUGUCUGACAUGCUCGCUGACACUAGUUGACUUGUAAAAUAUUUCACUUUGAGCUAUGCUUGUCAUAAACUGUUACAUUUCAAUAGAUGACUGUUGGAGGGUAUGAUGGGAUAAGCUACUGAAAAAAAAAAGAAAUCAUUCGCUCAUCGUAAUUUAUUUUUUUCCAAGUUGCCUCUCGACAUUCAGUGUCAACAAUGCUUCUAUAUUGUCCUGUAGUGUCUGGUCAGACCAGUUAUUUAAUUUACUGGUUGUUCUUAAUCAGCUUUAAGUUUGUCCUUUUAACAUUAACUGAAUUAAGACUGUGUUGUUUGUAGGCAUCCACCGAAAUUCAAAUUCAGCCGCCAAAAAUCUUCGCCCGGAAUUUGCAUUUUCAGUUUUGGUCUGAAAGACUUUUGUUCCUCAAGCAACACAACUAAUACGGAAUGUUGUGAUGAUGCAAGCAUGCACCGACGGCCUGCUGAGCUGAAGGUGGUGUGUUGACACGGAGAAACGAGCCGGGGAUCAAAAAUUCCUUCACAGCAGCAGCCGGUCAUUGGCCGGAGAGGAGAAGGCUGCUUGUCUGCGGCUCGCCGUGGGCUGCCCAUCCAGUGACUGUGAAAGUGCUGUGGUUACAGAUGUCAAUAUGUGCAGUGUGUAGAGUCUCAUCUGUCUUUUUGUGACUUCCGAGGUCCUCAACCCUCCAUUUUCGUGUUAACGCCUCCCACCAGAAAUCAAGGAGACGAGGAUAUUGACUGAAGAGUGAGGCAGGAGGAGGGAAAUAUGUUGACAGAAAUGAGACAAUCGUUAUUUGUUGAGACUGCAACUAAAAGCAACCUCACAUCAUAGACUUGUGCCACGAAUCAAGCUUCUCUGUGGGUUGAUUAUUUUGAUCGCCACACAUCUUCAAUUUGCUUCAUGAGGGCCUAAAUUCCAGUCAAGCAUUAUCAACAGUGUUACUCUUCAUAGUUUUGCACAUGCACCAUCACCAUCCCAAGCACGUCUCCCUCCUAAUAGCCUUCGAGCGCAGUAUAUCUUUGGAUACACUAUGGACUAUGUAUAUCAGGGGUGUCAAACUAAUUUUUGUCAUGGGCUACAUUUUAGUUACCGUUUCCCAUGGAGGGUCGUUAUGACUGAAACAAAAUUUAAAAAGUCAAUAAUGGUUUAAUUAAUAAAUAAAUCGGGGGCAGGGGAAUAAUAAAUUCACAUAAACAUAGUUGUUGAAUACAACAAUUGUUUUAAGUUACUGUAGUGAGGGGGUUGGUGUAUUCUAAAACAAAUAAAUGUAUAUUUUUAGUAAAUUAAUGAACGAAUGGCAGUAUCUGUGGAUUAACUAUUGAAUUUAAUGCACAGAUCAUCAUCCAUCUGUUUUUUUUGGGGAGGGGGGGGGAGAAAUACAGUAUUAUAAUUUGUUUUUGGAGUUUUGGGCACUGGGGUUCUCAUUUCCACCAAGAAUUCUCAUUUCAGUGCCUACUUAGUUGUUUCUAAACUUAUCAGUUGACACUGUAAACAAGAGCACACAGUAGCACAAAGUUGUGAAAGAAAAAGUAGAGCGGAGCAUGACUGUGCAAAAAACUCCUGUCUCUCACUGUUAUAUCGAUAUCGACAUAAUGUUUUCGCCACAUGUAUCCUAUGUGAGGAGGCUGAUUAUUUCAGUCAAAUACACAGUCAGGAUCUGUUUGGCUUUUUGCGUAAACAACUCAUUGGCUUGUUUUGUCAUGACAAAGAUGGAAAUGCGCAUGGAGAGAACCACAAAUAGAAAGAUGUUGCUGCGUAGAAUCUGGAAGAGAUAGAGUCUCGAUUGAUGUGUUGGAAAACUGAAGUAAGGAAAUGAGUAAUACACAGAAUGAAGGAGAAAGUGCUGUCUUGUCAUUAUCCGUAGCUUUUUUUUUCCAGGAUUGAAGUGUAGCAGAGCUAGUGAACGAGACAGAAAAUUGGAAUGAGAGAGAGAGAGAGAGAGAGAGAGAGAGAGAGAGAGAGAGUUCUUUCUGCUCUGUCUGGCCUCUCUCCCAUAGCAACAGCGACUUAGCCACGUGAAGGCCAGUUCCUUUGAGUUCACCCGCUGCACACAAUUUAACCCCCUUGCUGCCGGAUUACAGCGCAAUAGAGCAGCGCAGCAAGAACAGAAUUACAGACGCUUGAAGAUACUGUCUGAUAUGAUCAGGUUUUAACUGUAAUUAGCAUUAAAUCUUAUUUCAUAUUUUAAAAGCAAUAUAGAGGAUUCAUUUUGUAGUCGACUCAACCUUCUGCAGUGCUUUCACAUCCUUAGCCGGACCAACAUGCCAUGCACGAAACAUAAAAUAACAGUCAUACAAUCAUAAAUAACGGAACAAAAUCUUCGCCAUUCAUAAUACACCACAGCUCCUCUCACUUUGGCAUGACGCAGACAGGAGCUGCAGAGAUUUUUCUUCCCUUUGGUUGCUCUGUUAGGAGGUCGAGGGAGGAAAGAUUUAAGUCUACCUUUUUCAUACGUUACAAAGUGCCUCACACAAGGACCCGAACACACACGUGCACGUAAACCAGCGGUGUCCAACUCCGGUCCUCGAGGCCCGCUUAUGCUUCAUGUUUUUAGAUGUUUCCCUCCUCCAAACCACCUGAUUCAAAUGCUCUCGAUCUUGAUCAGGCUUCUGCAGAGGUUGCUGAUGAGCUGAUCGUUGGCAUCAAAUGUGUUGGACUCAAUCAAUCAGUUCCUCAAUCAAACUAAACAAACAACUGUAAUUUUCCAACCGCCAAAAGCUUGACAAGCGAGCUCUCGCUAGCAAGGCGGCUCAGGGAGCAGACACCAUGCCCCUCACACUUCCCCACUACUCGAAAACCCUCCGUCUGCUCUUUGCCGGGCGUCUGCAACCGCAGGCAAAGGCGAUUUGGUCGUAGGGCUGGAAGGGAUUAAUUCUAUUUCCACUCAUUUGAAAUGGAAAUUUCAGUUUGCAAACAUCUCGGUUCACAAGCACAGUCGCGAAACAAAUUAGGUUUGUGAACCGUGGUUCCUCUGUAUUCAGUGACUGCUCCAAAAUCAACUUCAUGACUACAGUAUUAUAAUGUACUUCAAGAUAUUGAAAUAUAUUAUAAUAUUUCAAUAAUUCAUCUCCUCAAAGUACAUUUCUAUCUCUCUUUAAUCCGCCUAACCUGCUAAAAAUUCUGCCCCACAACUAGUGUUCUCCUUCCUUUGCAUCCAAUCGCUCAUAUAAACGCAUCGUAUACCGUAUUUUCCACACGAUAUAAGGCACACUUAAAAGCAUUCCAUUUUCUCAAAAUCCGACAGUGCGCCUGAUAAUCCGAUGCGCUUUCUAUAUGGAUCAAUAUUCAGAUUUCUUGGACGUAGUGUUUUAAAUGUUUUACAUGUUCUAUAAAGUGUUUUUUUACAGCUGCAGCAGUUGUGAAAGCGCUGUAUUAAUAAACCUGGAUUGUAUUGUUGCUUUCACUGAAUUGGCUCUUGAAGUCUUGUGCCACCAGCCACUCUCUUUGACCUAUUAAUAUAAUCUUUGUAAUGGGGAGAAAUCAGCCCAGAUGAUUAUCAGCAUCGAUAUUGGGAAUUUUGACGGUGUCAGCCUUUUUUUGUUUAAUUUUUUGGUUUUAAUCUGCAGACCAUUCCGAGGUCAGUUUAAUAUUGGGUAAACCUCUGGGAGUUAUCACUGAUGAUACUAAUAACUCUCUGCACUUUUAACUUUUAACAUUAUUAAGUUUGACUGAGAUUUUCAAAGUUGAAUCACUGGAGAAAACUUUAGGGAGCUAUUCAUCUGUAGAAGUUUUCAUUGAACUUUCUGCGACAUGCUGCUGAGCCUGGGAGCUCCUUGCACUUUUUUUUAGAAUUUGAAAACAAAGAUGUCUCAUGUGGCAGAUAAAAAGAAAAAUAAUUAGCAAAGCUGAAAAGCUGUUUAAUCAACAUGAUUUAAGGCAGUCAAACAAAGUGUUGGAGUUUGUGUCAUUAAAACAUUUUGACACACAUUUUACUUUUCACUGCUAAUGAACUCCAAAUAUCAGUUAUUGGCCUCCUUGACAACAAAUCAAUAAUAGCCUUGAAAAAAGACCUGUCUCUACUUUAUAAAAACCUGAUCCAACUCUCUUCAGAACGUAUUCCCCUACAGCUCACAUCCCACCCAAGGGGCAUAACGGCUAACAGAAUGUCAUUCACACAAUUUCUACCUUAACAAUCAUCAACUUGUAUUGACUCUCAUUUCACCUUGACAACAAUCUUUUUUCAGAAUAACUCCUACCCCACAUUCAUCCUACUAUGCAGAUAGUCAGAAAGAAGCUUGAACACUCCUCCAGUGCUUCUAACCUUGUCACCCUUCCAUCUGGUCUCUCGUGCACACAAAAAUGAAUACCCUACUGCUCUGUUGUUAACACUUGGACCGAUCCGGUAUAGAAGUCAAGUUUGUGAUUUGCAUGUUUGUUUUGGACAACAUUUGAUGCCGUAAGGCCGUCUGGAAGCAACGCUCACCAUUUUUCAUGGUCGGUGACCGAGACCUGAAAUACACUGGCUUGUGACUCCCAAGUUGCUGGCUUAGCAAUACAAUAUAUAUUUUUUAUUUUGUAUUUUAUACAUAGGGCAACUCAAUGAGCUUCACACAGCCAAAAGGCACAAAACCUGGAAGCUUCAACAAAACAAGACAUCGUAAAGCAUGACAGUUUUAGUGUUUAAUUUUAUGAUUACUGAGAUCAUCUGUGUCAAACUCAAGGCCCGGGGGCCAGAUCUGGCCUGCCAGGUCAUUUUAUGUGGCCGGCGAAAGCAAAUCACGCGUGUCAACUUAAUCAAACACAAAAUGUCAAAUUGUCAUGUGUAAAAAAUAACGUUGAGAUUGUGCAAUAAUUUUGUUACCCUGUUUACACUCACUUGAACAAUAAUUGAACAAACUAUUGUAAUUGACUUGACUGAUUUCAAAACUAGUAAUCUAUUCAUUUGUUGUGUACAAGUAAUCAUUUUGUGGUUUCACUGUCAUAACAGCCCUCCGAGGGAAGAACUCUCAAUUGGUCCGCGACUAAAAUGAGUUUGACACCCCUGACUUAGAUUGUGCGAUAAUAUCCUCCUAUGGUGGCCCUCACAUUAAGGAUUAUUUUCCCACCGUUUUCCCAGCCCCCCAAAAAGAAUUAGGAGGUAUAAAAGGUUGGCCCCAUAUUCAGUACUUGGAAUGCCGAAGGUUUCUGUGUACAGUGGCUCUCAGAAGCUCAUAUUGCUGAAACCAUGAGUAGACUUGGUAUUUGACAAGUCUCAGCUGGAAUGCUAUCCACAAUUAAACAAGCUAACUCUUGUUACAAAUAGUUAAGAACUCAUUUCAGUGCUCACUCUGGCUCGCUCUCAACAACCAUCUCUUUCUUUUGCAGUUGUGUGUUGUACUUAUCCUCAAAUAUACCUCUUAUUUUUUGUGUUGCAUCAGUGUCACUAAUUAAAAUUGUGUGAACAGAGGUUUCUCUUAUAGUGGGUCAUUAACUCUUUCAGGUACAGCGGUUACUACAGUAGACAGCUUAUCAUGUUAUUAGGUUACAGGGUAAAGGAAAGGGUUAAAGUUUGAAUGCCCUCAAAUGUUGUACAAUUGGGUGUUUGGGAGAGAUUUUCACGCAGUGCAUUUGAUGUGCAUCUCAUUUGACCUCUUCUGUGUGUUCUUCUGCUAUGUGCUGCUGUCUGCUAAUCAUGAGAAGGAUUAAUUGAGGUUAUUGUGUUGUUUUUCUUUUUUGUGACAAUGUUUCAAAAGGAUGACGAGAAAAGAGAGAUUUUAAGUGAGAAGUAAAGAAAGAAUAUUUUCUGACAUUUUCUAAGAAGAAGCCAACUUGCAGAUUUCGGUUCUGUUCACCGAUGUUUGGCGCUGUUGCUAAGUCUGUAAAUUGGUAGUUAAUGUUUUGCUCCUCUUCCUAUUAGCUUGAUCGGAUGUUAGAUUGAUCAGCUUUUGAUCAACAGCGGGCCUCCAGGCAAGGCUGUGGCCGCCCACGAUGUAACGUGGUGGGCUAUGCGUGCACCGACAGGACGCGGAGGUGAACCCAACAAAAUACUGCAUUAUAUUUGACUGUUUAUGUGCCUUUAAGAGGAGGGACCUGGUAUGGCGACAUGUGACGUUAAUGGGUCUGGAUACAUUUCUGUGCGUGAACGUUGGCUACAGAGCUCGUAUGAGCGUGUUCAUGAUUUACCAUUCUAAAUAAACGGCUGAACGGUGGCUCUCCUUUCCCACGCGAGGGCAUUACAGUCAAAACACAGCAAAGCGGAAGGGCUAAUGAUAACCCGCGAAAUAGUGGGGAAACUCUGCUCAAUGAGCGAUGGACAUUUCACUACAUCUCCAAAGGCGAGUAAACAAUCAAUUGUUCAACACAUCGAUUUAAUGCAAGACUCUUUUUUACAUUUUAAUCAUAAAUUAUCCGGAAGAACCAACAAGAGAUUUACCAGGAAUUAUUGUUGUCCAACGUAAGUUUUCUGCCGAUGUGUGCUGCUGUGUAUCAUCAAAUAAAUAAACACGCAGCAAUGAAUUCUGACAUUAGAAGAGACAAACUAUGGAUCACAAGUUCUUGAUUAAUGUUUUGAAUAGUUCUGUGUCAUAUUUGUGGAUUCACUUGGCAGUGGCAGCCAGUCUUUCCAAUGUACUGUCGUAUCUUCCCACAAUUUGUCUUGUCAGGCACCAGGGCAAGUUACAUAUCCUGACUUCCAUGGUGGUGUUUUGGAGGAAGAGCAAUUUGAAAGAAAACAAAACAGCAAAUAAAACUUGACAUGCCUUGAGGGGAAAACUGCUGUUAGGAGUGCCCCUCAACUACACAUACACACACAUGCACACAAAGGUAUGUGUAGCACAGCAGGCCUUGCGGUAUAAUGAGAUCUGUAAAUGGAUAAAGAAGCACUGUUGUGAUGAUAAUUUGUCUUUGUGUUGGGGCUGUGCGAUUUGGACACAAUUUCCUAUGUCAAUAUUUUAUGAGAUAUCUCGAUUAGGAAACGAGAACAUUGCUACUAUGAGUUAAGUGAGAGCUAAGCAUUACAGUGGUACCUGUACUUAUGAAAUUAAUUGGUUCGGGAAGAAAUUUCUGAACUAGAUAUUGUAAGUAGAGACGCGUUUUCCAAGUAAAUGCCCUAAUCCGUUCCAAUCUCCCAAAAUUCAGACAUAAAUGUUUCCUAAAGCAUAAAAAUACAUCAAAAUAUUUAACAAAUACAUUUUACAAUUAGAUUAUUGCACAAUAAAUGAGAGUUGUGUGUAAUGCAAAAAAAAAAAAAGAAUAAAAAUGAUGCCCAUUUAACUGUUAACUGCGUCUUCAUCGUUUUUUUUUUGUUGCCCUCUUUAGUUCAUGUUGUCUCUCUGAAGUGGAUUUUGCCUGGCCUUUUGUAAAGAACUGAGAAAAGGACAUCUGCUUUUGUCGGCUUUUAAAAAUCCUUCAAAAAUGUCCAAUGCAAACAUCAACGGAGUGAGCGAUCCCCCGACGAGUGAACACUUUCUGGGGAUUCCAAUUUACACAAAACACCUCAUGACCCGAGAGGCGAAUGACGAGGACGCCGCAUAAACACACAUCUAUCUAUCGACACAGACACAUACGGUAGCGGUACCGGGAAUAGCCAAUGGCAGAGUAGCUACAAGUAUGUUCAUUCAGGAAACUCAGAGCUGCAAGUAGCAACCAUACUGUAGUUUUACCUUUCUUGAAAUGUAUUUUGUAACUAGAGGCAAUAUUUUCCUGUUGAGGCGUUUCGUAACUUAAACAUUUUGUUUGAAGAGAUGUUCGUAAGUAGAGGUACCACUGUACAUGUCAGUAAAAUAUUCCUGACACGACUCCGCGGCUUUCAAACCUUUCAAACCUGCCUAAGUCGCGGUACCACUGUAUUUUGUUUGAAAAAGAAAAAGCAAAAUAUCAUUCCAAAUUGAUGAGCUAAGUGCACAUUUUUUGUUGUUGUUUAUUGGAACAUACUGAUAGUCAUCAACUAUACCUGGGCGAUAUGACGUUAUAUAUCACAAAGAUGAUAGAUGACAUGGCAUUGUAUCACUUUUUCUACGAUUGUGUUUUUGUCAUUUGGCAUCUGCAGCAAACUGCCUGGAAUGAAUAUGCCAAGUCAGCUUGAUUGGAUGGGCAAAAGCUUUCAUCUGUCAAUCGUAUGCCGCAUUCUUGCCACCAGUUGGCAGACUGAACAACAAUACAGGGAAUGAAUCACAAUGCGUAAUCACCGUACAUAAAAUUAGAAAAUGUGAACUCAAGAGUUUUUCUUUUAGUUUUUUGAGGUCUGCAAAAUGUUUGCAAAUUGACAUUACAGUAAAGUCCAUCUUUUGAUUUCAUUUUUAAAUGAAUUUUUGUUAGCAAUAUUAUUUUUACAAAUCUCCACCGAGCAUGGCCUCACUUCAGUGAGCGUGUGUCGCUUAUUGUGUUUGGCCUGGAUGUGUUUGUACAGAGAGUGGAUUUGGUUCCGUGUAAAGUCCAACGUUUCUGUUGACACUAUAGAAGCAAUAUUGUUGCGGCUUCGUGUUUUGCACUGUGCGUUCUGUUGACUCAAAUGUCAGUUGCGUCCUGGAGCAGCGCACCCAGAAAAAGAAAGAAAGAAAGGGAGGAAGAGAGAGAGUGUUGUGACAUUCAGCUUGUCCUAUCAGGGGUUCCCCACAGCAUGACACUUGCAUGAUUUAUUUGGCAGUUUUUAUACUGGAGUACUCUGUAAUGUAAACAAGAAAGCAAUACAGCUGUUUAAAACGAUUGAAACAGGAGUUAAAAAAACUUUAUUAGAAGAAUCUUUGUGAUAUGUGUCACUUUUUUCGUUAUGCUGCAACAUGUGAGUAAUUAUAACAACACUUUGGGCAUGACAAGUGUUUAAUGAUCAGGACAACAUUGGUGGCCAGAAGCCAGUUCGUUUCUUUCUCCUGUGUUGUAUUUUAUCCCGAUUUUUGUUGUUAUCGAAGAUGUCUUGUCAGAGAAUAUCAACACGAGCAGCUCCCAAUGCCCUCCGCGUUACCAUGCUUCACCGACGCCCGCUUCACCUACUGUGCCCCCCCCCCCCCCCCCCAAAAUGGUGCCCGCCGGUGGCCCUUCGGCAAAAACAUGCAUCGCAUAGGAGAUACGGAGAUGGACGAGAGCCGGCACUCAAGUGAAGUAACGUGAGAGAUAGCACAGAAAAAGACAAGGAGACUUGAACUGUUCAUAGAUCAUUAUGAGGAACGGACAACCCUGCACAUGUUUACAUUUGGCUUCCGUGGCUGCAGCAUGCGCUCGUGAAAUUGUCCUCAUAAUAGUCAGUUAUAUGGUCAUGUAUAUAAAACGUUGUUGAGGUGAGUUAAGUUUUACAAAUGUGCAAUCUUGCAGACAUUUAUCUUCAAACAGCUUGUCCUUAUUAGGGUUGCGGGUAACUCGAGCUCCUAGCGGACUUCGGGUUCACAUGUCACACAGACAAUCAAUCAUUCACACUCACAUUCACAGAAAUAGAUAAUUGCUGAUAUGCAAUUAACCUAAUUAUGAUGUUUUGGGGAGUUUUUGUAUUUAUUGUUGUUGUUUUUUUUACUCUUUCAGGGACAGCCGUUCGGACAGUGGACAGCUGAUCAUGCAUGUUAUCAGGUUCCAUAAAAGGGUUAAGAUAGAUUCCUUCAUUCUGAGGAGUGUAAGGUCAUUCUUAUGGUGAAUAGCAGGGCCUAAGUGUGUGUAUUUAUUCUACCCAAACAAGAUCUAAUGUCUUUGCAGGAUUGCACAUUUUGUCUUUAUGAAACAUUUGUGGGCCUUGAGGCAGGCCAGUCGGACUAGGCCUGUAACAUGAGCUUUUUUUCCCCCCAUGGGACUAUAUUGGAAAGGUUUCCUCACUACACGUCAGUCAGGGGAGCUUCCUUGAUGCAUUUGCAAGCUUGUAUUUCUAUGAUUAGGUAGGUCAACAAAUGUUGGUUUGAAAAUAUUCAAUAUUUGUCACCUAGUGUGUGUGUGUGUGUCUGACUGGUUUUUCUACAUGUGUGCUUAAACUUGCUUCAUGUUACAGUUGGCUUGCGUGUCUCUAAUACUCCACAACUUCGUCACUUCACUUGUUUGCAUGUCUCCGAGCGCAACCAAUUGAAGUCAGGGAGCAGUGAGCUCGUUUCUGCAUUGUUUGGUUCCACGCAGAGUGAGACUUGACCUUCACAGCAGAUGACUGAAUGGCUGCCAAAGACAUACAUGUGUGUGCACGCUCGCACACAUUAGAGAGCUAUACAAAUAUCUGCACUAACCUGUUCAUACUUCCCUCAGCCUCACAGUUUUCUCUGUGGGUGUCAACUGCAACCGACCUGUAUGAAUUUAGAGUAACUGUUACGAGCCUUUUACUCAGCUGGCUGUCGCAGAGUUGCAAAGCUCUUCAGUUGUUGGGGCACCCACUAGAGCACUGUCUCACAUUUCUGUAGUAUUUCGCAGCUCUUAGACAGCUUUUGCAUUAGGGCUUGCUGAUGUGCCCUAAAAGUACUUUUUUGGGGUGCUGAGUGGCAAAUAGAUAUUUCCUCAUAAGUGUGAAGUCCUCAACUUUGAGUCAAACAACAGGUGACAUGUUAACCCUUUCAUGCACCCUGUAACCUGAUAACAUAAACUGUCUACUGUAGUAACCGCUGUCCCUGAAAGAGUUAAACACUUAAAAACUUUUGUCGUACAGUGUGUUUUUAAAUAAAAAGGGAAGGACAAACAGUUCCUUUCCCUUGCUAUUUUGUGUUUAACCUUGUCAGUUUAGUGAAAGGGGUCCAAUUCCUGAGACGCUAGUCUCCGCUAGCACUUUAAUACCUAGCUUAGCGUCUGCUCCCGCAACCCCAAUUUGUCACCAGCCCCAACUGCUCAGCCUCUUUCCUCUAUUUCGCCGUGCUCAAUCAUCGUCGUUUUAAGCCCUUUUGUCAACCACAGAAACAUUGUUUCUUUGCUCAAUGUCUUCACUGUUAGACGACAAACUGUCUUGAAUGGAUUUCGAGUUGUAAGUUGUAAGACCCAACCCUGUUCCUCUUCUGGUUGAUUGAUUGAAGUGAUGUGUGUGUGUGUGUGUGUUAGGGUGGAGGCGACGUUCCUCGAAAAGUAGGCACAGUGAAAUGGAACAAGAACUCAUUAAAAUAAAUAUAGACUUUGAUUGAAGUUUUCAGAGCGUACAGUACACACAUGAACUUGGUACAAAAUGUAUUCACAUGGAAAUUUUGACAAACAGCUCUGGAUGCCACUCAUAUUAGGAAUGGUCUCAGUCCUACUAGUAAUUGAUUGUUAAGGAUUGUGUGGAAUUUGUUGUUGACGAAUGUUGUCUUACCGCAAUUGAGGCAACUAGCUGUGGUGAUGUGUUUUUACGCUCAACCAUUUUGUAACUCGCCAAGGUCUACCCACCAAACAUCCCCCUGGUUUUAUGCAGUGAAGAAAAAAGCGAUGAACAAUAAAAUAAAUAGACAAAGUUGGAAUAAAAACAAAGAGAGUAAAACGUCGGAACAGAAGAAAACUCCUUAAAAAGGGAUCUCAUUACAUAAUGUUAAUUUAGCAGCAUAGUCUGGUGUAAAUGUAAAUUCCGUGCGAAAAAACAAAAAUGAGAACAAAAAAAAAUGUCAAAAAAUAUUUAACUUUCCUGAUUGUCCACAGACUGACAGCCUGUUUUCAAAUCAUUAAAAAAAAAUAUUUUUUUGCGAUUGUGUAUUAUAUGUAAAGUAGGCGGAAUAGGUUUUCGCUUAAAUAAAAUUAACCUCUGGAAAAGAUGUGUGGCAAAUACAGUAUGCCAUCUUUUGUGAGAAGAGAAUAGAAGGGUCCGCAACCAGGACUGAAGAAAACACAUUUUAUGAGGUAAUCAAAGAGUCACUGUGAGUUGACGAUUACAACAUUUUCACCGCGAUUGAUUUUGUCAGAUUAUAUCGUUGCGGUAACAGACAUUUUCCUCGCUCUUUGUUUAUGAUAUUCACCUACAGUACUCGCGAGGUGCGAUUCCUCUUCGGUUUUUUAAAGCAUGCUUUCGUUUUCAUAGGUUUCAGUGCCAUUCACAAAUCUCUCCAAAAGUACACUUCCAGGAUUUCCACGCAGCCUCAGCUGUCCGUGAAUCAUGCCUCUUCAGGGUUUGCGUGUUCAUUCCCAGUUUACAUGAGGCGGGUGUGUCAGAAGUCGUGAGAAAACGAUCAAUAGAUAGGAGAUAAUAAGUGUUCAAGUCCAGGCGCAUAAAAAGGGUUGACGCAGCAAUGGGAGAAUAUGUCCCCGGGUUGUAUGUGCUAAUGCCUCAAUACUGAUCUGUUUGCCUAAUUUGAUCAUGUUGAUUUUGGUAUGCACUCGUGUGGUGUGUAAUCAGCUUUUAUAUACACUUGACACGGAGAACUGUCAUGAUCAUUGGGCUGAGCAUUGUUCGACCAAAACAACAGUGGUUUGUCAUAGUUUGAAUUUUAGUGAAGCAAAAAUCCAUUCAGGGCUGUAUUUGGUCUUCCCUGCGCUUCACAACUCCAAAUUUUCAUUCAACAAAAUCCUUAUGUAAUGUUGCUAUUUGAUCAUUUAGAUACAAGGUGAUUUGAGCAAUUUGUAUUGUACAUAGAUCAAACAACUGUGGGUGUGGGUGCGUGUGCGCGCGUGCGGGUGUGGGUGUGGGUGUGUGUCAGUGGCAGACGUUGUGUGCAUGCUCUCUGUUUACGAGCCAGGAAACAUGCAAUUUGAAACGGUGGGAUGGUGGAAUUUCAAGCCCACAUGCUGUAGCAGGAGACGAAGACACGUGAGCCAGUUGACCUCAAACCAUCUCGGAGUGAGAGAGAAAGAGAGAGACAGAGAGGCAAACAUCCACAGAGCAGUAGUCUCAAAAGAGAGAGCGUGUCGAGCAGUAUAGAAGAGAAUUGGAAUUGGAUUAUUUUUAACGUACCACCUGCUGUGUUUGUUUAUUUGUUUGUUUAUUGAACAUAUAAGCAAAUAACAGAAAAUAUUCCAUCAGGAAAUAAAAGAAAACAAAAGUGGUCAUGUCAUCAUUAAGCACGUUCAAAAGCGGGUAGGACGAAGUUAAAAAAAACAAAAAAAAAACGGAUCGAGUACUACCCUUUUGCUCUUUGUAUAUUUUCACUUCAUAUCAUAUUUGCAUAUUACAAAUAGUUCACCAAACGGAGUCGAAGUACAGUACACAGAUUAUUUUCUGAUUCUUGGUUUCCCUUCCCACGCUGGAGACUGCUGUGGAUAUAAAGUCUACACACUGUUUGCGAGAGAAAGAAAUGAGACCAAGAGAGAUAUAAUUAGAGAGCGAGAAUUAAUAGAUUUAAUGAAUUCCGCAACUCCGUUGGCGAAGCAAGGUUGGUUAUAAAACGUAUACUGCAGUACAAUAUAGAAAUAAGUGAGGACCCCCCCUCCCCCACUUAAUUAUGCAGAAAUAACAAUGUGUGUUCCCAGGCGAAUAACUGUGCAAUGUUUCAGACUUUUUGCAUAUGCCGCUGUCUGCUUUGGCAACUGCUUUGCAUCAUGGGAUGCAGUUGUAACCACGGUGAGCAUAAAUUAGGCGGUGCACUCACGCAGAGUCAAAGACUACAACUACACAGACUACAAGGGAAACAUCAGAUCUUGAAUCCUAAAAUUUUGGGUUGUUCAAAAAGACACAUUUUUGAUCUCCCUGGGUACAGGACAGGCAAUAAUAUAAUCCACGCAGUCGUAAAUUCCCUUUUUCCCUUUCUUGCUUCUGAAGAUAUUGAUGUACAAUUAUUGUGAGCCUUUUGUAUGUAAAGUUGUCAUCCAAUUGUAUGGAUGUCACGGCUCUCCUUUCUUGCGGAGCAAGGUUGGAUGGAAGUACCUUCACGCAAAAGAGCUGUUGACACUUUCACCCCGAGCUGCGCUGUCUUCGCUGCAGGCCGAUAGUUGUUCUCGAUGACUGAUUCUCUUGCGUUGUUCUAAAUUAUGAGGUAAUUUAGAUGAGCAGAAAUUCGGUGAAACGUCCUCGACAGCCAGAGAGAAUCAACAUUGCCUUGAUUCAACUUUUGCGAUUACCACAGAUGACUGGGCAUCCAAACAGACAUUCGCUCAGAUGACUUGUGGUUGCACAGGGGUUCCCAUACAGAGUUAUACACUUUUUUUUGUCAUGUGCAGAUGCCCAUUCAUUAAAAGUAUGACAAACUAUUUAUGGCUGUGGUUUUCAAACCGGAGAGCCAGCGCUGAGGGCUCUACAAAACAUUUUGCAUUAAAUUAUGGCGUAUCAUAAAGUGCAGCUCUUUUAUCGGUGAAAAAAACAAAACAAGCCAGACAAAUAUGUUUGCCAAUGACCACUUUGGAGAAACCUGGCAUUUGCGAUUGAGCGGUUUGGACCACUGGUCAAGACCCGCUUGGUCAGCGCGUCAACCUCACAGUGCAGACGUACCGGGGUCAAUUCCAGCGCUCUGUGGAGUUUGCAUGUUCUCCCUGGGCCUGCGUGGGUUUUCUCCGGGUACUCCGGUUUCCUCCCACAUUCCCAAAACACGCAUGACAGGCUGACUGAACACUCCAAAUUGUCCCUAGGUGUGAGUGUGAGCUUGGAUGGUUGUUCGGGUUCAGGGUUUCCCCCGCCUACUGCCCAAAGACGGCUGGGAUAGGCUCCAGCACCCCCCGCGACCCUUGUGAGGAUAAGCGGAUCGGAAAAUGGCUGGAUGAACGAUCCUAUCAACAUGAAUGCAAAUCAUUGUGGAUCUCUGUGCUGAUUUUUAUUUUCUCAUACGCAGUUGAUUUCAUGAGUUGCAUGUCACACUUUUUGCAUCACUGCACAAUCCAGUCAAACAUAUGUGGUGAAAAUGUCACAAACUCUUAUCAUUUGAUUAUGUAAUAUACUGCUUAUAUGCAACUUAUGUUGUUAUACUGCGUCUUACCGACUGAAUACUGUUACUCUGAUGCUCACUGCCGAGUUCUGUUACGUGCGGCACAUGGAAUGUCAGGUGGCUGUUUCUUUCACAUUUCAAAAUAAUGCACGGCAGGUUCAUGGAAUACUCAAAAUUGUUCCUCGGUCUGAGUGUGAGCGCGAAUGGUUUUUCGUCUGUGUAUCCUGCAAUUGGCUGGCGACCGGUUCAGGGAGUACCCCGCCUACUGCCCGAAGACAGCAUGAAUAGGCUCCAGCAUGCCAACGACCCUCGUGAGGAAAAAGCAGUUCAGAAAAUGAAUGGAUGGAAGUUCACUUAAGCCAAGAGCUGUAUGAUAUAACGAUAUAAAGUGUUUCCCCAUUUUCCUAGGUGAUACUUUCCAAUAACCGAACCACGAAAUAGCGAGGGAACACCACAUAACUGAGUGCAAUGUAAUAAAGUCUAAUGUACAAUAUACUCCUCUAUCAUUUACUAUUUAUCAUCACUUUGAUGUGUGGAAUGUUGCGGUAGCUCCGUUGCUGCACUAAUGUAGCAUCUGGGAUGGUCACACAACAUCCGCCUUUCUAUUAUGUCAUCCAUGGGUUUUACUCUCCAGACAAGACCUGUCAACACACACUUAAUCCCACCGUUAAGCCCUUUGCACACAUUAUUGAGUAGGGCACAUCACCCCGUCGUCAAAACCAUUCAUUGUGUAUGUGGUGUCAGUGCAGGGACCUCGGAAUGGAGCGCUGCUGGGCGACGUGGUGCAGCAAAAAAAAAAUGAAAAAAAGCA
Molecule: long non-coding RNA, 16348 nt
Organism: Hippocampus zosterae (dwarf seahorse)
Lineage: Eukaryota; Metazoa; Chordata; Actinopteri; Syngnathiformes; Syngnathidae
Exons: 2
Source: RefSeq, a predicted model, not a curated record